This 301-nucleotide ribosomal RNA is filed under the name uncultured bacterium. RNAcentral describes it as "partial 16S ribosomal RNA". It matches the Rfam family "Bacterial small subunit ribosomal RNA", at positions 509 to 809 of the family's 1533-position model. The record is from RNAcentral.
CAGUCGCCGCGGUAAUACGGAGGGAGCUAGCGUUGUUCGGAAUUACUGGGCGUAAAGCGCACAUAGGCGGCUUUGUAAGUUAGAGGUGAAAGCCUGGAGCUCAACUCCAGAACUGCCUUUAAGACUGCAUCGCUUGAAUCCAGGAGAGGUGAGUGGAAUUCCGAGUGUAGAGGUGAAAUUCGUAGAUAUUCGGAAGAACACCAGUGGCGAAGGCGGCUCACUGGACUGGUAUUGACGCUGAGGUGCGAAAGCGUGGGGAGCAAACAGGAUUAGAGACCCCCGUAGUCCCUGUCUCUUAUAA